CCCGGCGUAGCUCAACGGUAGAGCACUCGGCUGUAGACCGAGGGGUUGCCAGUUCGAAUCUGGCCGCCGGGA
This 72-nucleotide transfer RNA is filed under the name Candidatus Pacearchaeota archaeon. RNAcentral's name for it is "tRNA-Tyr". It matches the Rfam family "tRNA". From Rfam's summary of the family: Transfer RNA (tRNA) molecules are approximately 80 nucleotides in length. The record is from RNAcentral. Lineage: Archaea; Nanobdellati.